This 127-nucleotide ribosomal RNA is filed under the name Microcebus murinus (gray mouse lemur). The record is from RNAcentral. Lineage: Eukaryota; Metazoa; Chordata; Mammalia; Primates; Cheirogaleidae.
GUCUACGGCCAUAUCCCCCUGAACGCACGUGCAUCUUGGUCUGAUCUUGGGGUAGGCCUAGGCAGAGGUUGGGUCUGGUUGUACUUGGAAUUGGGUGACCGUCUGGGAAUACCAGGUGCUGUAGCGC